Molecule: ribosomal RNA, 735 nt
Filed under: uncultured bacterium
Lineage: Bacteria
Description: bacterial SSU rRNA
Rfam family: Bacterial small subunit ribosomal RNA
Source: RNAcentral
GACGAACGCUGGCGGCGCGCCUAACACAUGCAAGCCGAACGAGCGAGAGAGAGCUUGCUUUCUCAAGCGAGUGGCGAACGGGUGAGUAACGCGUGAGGAACCUGCCUCAAAGAGGGGGACAACAGUUGGAAACGACUGCUAAUACCGCAUAAGCCCACGACCCGGCAUCGGGUUGAGGGAAAAGGAGCAAUCCGCUUUGAGAUGGCCUCGCGUCCGAUUAGCUGGUUGGUGAGGUAACGGCCCACCAAGGCAACGAUCGGUAGCCGGACUGAGAGGUUGAACGGCCACAUUGGGACUGAGACACGGCCCAGACUCCUACGGGAGGCAGCAGUGGGAAAUAUUGCACAAUGGGGGAAACCCUGAUGCAGCGACGCCGCGUGGAGGAAGAAGGUCUUCGGAUUGUAAACUCCUGUUGUUGAGGAAGAUGAUGACGGUACUCAACAAGGAAGUGACGGCUAACUACGUGCCAGCAGCCGCGGUAAAACGUAGGUCACAAGCGUUGUCCGGAAUUACUGGGUGUAAAGGGAGCGCAGGCGGGAAGACAAGUUGGAAGUGAAAUCUAUGGGCUCAACCCAUAAACUGCUUUCAAAACUGUUUUUCUUGAGUAGUGCAGAGGUAGGCGGAAUUCCCGGUGUAGCGGUGGAAUGCGUAGAUAUCGGGAGGAACACCAGUGGCGAAGGCGGCCUACUGGGCACCAACUGACGCUGAGGCUCGAAAGUGUGGGUAGCAAACAGG